GGGAAGGUCCAGCUCAGUGGUAGAACAUGUGCUUAGCAUGCACAAGGUCCUGGGUUCACUCCCCAGCCCCUCCA
This is a transfer RNA of Camelus ferus (Wild Bactrian camel), 74 nucleotides long. It matches the Rfam family "tRNA". Rfam says of the family: Transfer RNA (tRNA) molecules are approximately 80 nucleotides in length. Their secondary structure includes four short double-helical elements and three loops (D, anti-codon, and T loops). Lineage: Eukaryota; Metazoa; Chordata; Mammalia; Artiodactyla; Camelidae. The record is from Rfam.